This 492-nucleotide ribosomal RNA is filed under the name uncultured bacterium. RNAcentral's name for it is "partial 16S ribosomal RNA". It matches the Rfam family "Bacterial small subunit ribosomal RNA", at positions 29 to 507 of the family's 1533-position model. The record is from RNAcentral.
AGUGAACGCUGGCGGUAGGCCUAACACAUGCAAGUCGAACGGCAGCACAGUAAGAGCUUGCUCUUACGGGUGGCGAGUGGCGGACGGGUGAGGAAUAUAUCGGAAUCUACUUUUUCGUGGGGGAUAACGUAGGGAAACUUACGCUAAUACCGCAUAUGACCUACGGGUGAAAGCAGGGGAUCUUCUGACCUUGUGCGAUUGAAUGAGCCGAUGUCGGAGUAGCUAGUUGGCGGGGUAAGGGCCCACCAGGGCGACGAUCCGUAGCUGGUCUGAGUGGAUGGUCGCACGCCUGGGAGGUGGAACGGGGUCACGAGUCCUGCGGGAGGGAGCAGUGGGGAAUAGUGGACAAUGGGCGGGAGCCUGAUACAACCAGACCGCGUGGGUUAAGAAAGCCUUGGGGUUGUAAAGCCCUUUUGUUGGGAAAGAAAAGCAGCAGGUUGAUACCCCGCUGUACUGACGGUACCCAAAGAAUAAGCACCGGCUAACUUCGUG